RNAcentral lists this microRNA (21 nucleotides) under Homo sapiens (human). RNAcentral's name for it is "hsa-miR-3155a". The record is from miRBase by way of RNAcentral. Lineage: Eukaryota; Metazoa; Chordata; Mammalia; Primates; Hominidae.
CCAGGCUCUGCAGUGGGAACU